AUACGGAGGGUGCAAGCGUUACUCGGAAUCACUGGGCGUAAAGCGCGCGCAGGCGGCUAUUUAAGUUGGAUGUGAAAGCCUAUGGCUCAACCAUAGAACUGCAUCCAAAACUAUUUAGCUAGAGUGUGGGAGAGGAAGAUGGAAUUAGUUGUGUAGGGGUAAAAUCCGUAGAGAUAACUAGGAAUACCAAAAGCGAAGGCAAUCUUCUGGAACACUACUGACGCUCAGGCGCGAAAGCGUGGGGAGCAAACAGGAUUAGAAACCCUAGUAGUCC
RNAcentral lists this ribosomal RNA (274 nucleotides) under uncultured bacterium. RNAcentral's name for it is "partial 16S ribosomal RNA". It matches the Rfam family "Bacterial small subunit ribosomal RNA", at positions 523 to 796 of the family's 1533-position model. The record is from RNAcentral.